This 253-nucleotide ribosomal RNA is filed under the name uncultured bacterium. RNAcentral describes it as "partial 16S ribosomal RNA". It matches the Rfam family "Bacterial small subunit ribosomal RNA", at positions 524 to 776 of the family's 1533-position model. The record is from RNAcentral.
UACGUAGGGUGCAAGCGUUGUCCGGAAUUAUUGGGCGUAAAGCGCACGUAGGCGGUUCGUUAAGUCGGAUGUGAAAGCCCUCGGCUCAACUGAGGAAGUGCACCCGAAACUGGCGAGCUUGAGUACGAAAGAGGAUCGCGGAAUUCCCGGUGUAGAGGUGAAAUGCGUAGAUAUCGGGAGGAAUACCAGUGGCGAAGGCGGCUGCCUGGCCUGUUCUUGACGCUGAGGCGCGAAAGCUGGGGGAGCAAACGGG